AGCCAAAAAAAAAAAAAAGAUGGGGCAUCAAAUGUGAAGACCAUGUUAGCAUCUACCAGAGAGUAUAUACCGUGGAAGAAGCAUUAAAUAACCACGUAUAUGCAGUUGACAUCAGCCACAUCUAAGGCCACCCCAGCGCUGGCACAAGGGAUUCCUGUGUCAGCACCAUGCUCUAAUCAGCUGAGCUAAGGGGUGCCUAUAAGCAGUAACCAUGGUGGCAUGGAGAGAGGGUACAUAUAGGCCCAAUUGCAUGGGUCCCCACUCCCUGAGACUGAUCGAGCUGUUGCUGAUGCUGAGUGUUCAACUCGCCAAUUACAAAGACCAACUCCGAGUCUCAGCUAUGUCUCUAUCCCUUGAGGAACACAACCAGCCACUUGACAAGUUGAUGAUAUUAAACCCCUGCUACCUUGGGAAAAAACUGUGAUUCAUCUUCACUGAAAUAGGCGUAUGUCCUAGAUAGAAGGUGCUUUGCUGGUAGGGCUUCCUCCUGUACAACAACUCAAGGGUUUACAGAGUAAACCUUAGUCUACCAGAUGGGAUCCCGUAUGACUCUACAGCAGUGGGAGCAUGGCCGUGGAGGCGUCUCAUCCUGUCACGUGCUGCACCAUUUUGAAGCUGCCAGCUUGGAUCUGUAGGUGGCUCAGCUGAGGCACUAGCUCAGAAACAAAACUCUGAGGAUAGGGCGCCAUCCUCCAGGAUGCAGCAUAUAUUCUGAAUCGAAGACCAUUACAUGGCGUUUUUCUCCAAUAGGUAGAAUGCAUGGGUCCAGCAAUCGGGAUGAAAGCAGGAGUGGUCUUAUGGGUACCGUCACUCCCAGGGAGCAUCUGUGCUUCCUGUCCCCAUGAUGCUAGGUUCUGCCAGUUUGGAGGUCCUGAUCCUCAAAGAGACAACACUUCAGCCAGGGGAAACAUCAAGAUGACUAUUGAACUUUUCGCUAGGUCUGCCACCCAGGCACUUUGAGCUCCUUGUGUCAAGGGACCAGCAGGCAAGAAGAAGUCACCAUUCUUUCAGGGAUAAUUAACCCUGAUCAUCAGGAGGAGGUAAGGCUGCUGUUAAGCAGUGGAGCAGGGAGGUACAUCUUUGGUACCCAGUUGAGCCAUUUGGAAACCCCUUGAUGCUCCCUUGUCUAAUGCUUAACAGUAAAUAGGCAAGUGCAGGGCCAUGCCCUAAGAGGAUAAGUUGACCACAGGCUCAGGCCUUUCAGGACAGAGGGUCUAGAUCAUGCCACCACAUAGGUCACGGAGACCAGAAGAGAUGGCUAGCUGAGACCUGCAAGAGCUGCUCCCAGAAAUUAAAAGAAGUUUAGCUGGAUGGCCCAAGGUGUGGGCUCUAGAGGUUGCUCUUCUGCGCUGCCCAGCCCCCAUCCCUAUGACCAAUGCAGCUAUUCCCCUUCAGCUAGCAGCCCUUGCUGGGAAUUCCCUCAGCUGGAAAGAGUUACCUCACCCCAGGUCAUACCCCUUCUCCAGGGCAGGUUGAUUCAGGGUUAUAAAGGACUGUUUCCAUUGCCCCAAUUCAGCACAACUCUGAAGGACCAUCCCAACUUCACAGCUCUGUGGCACUGGCUGAGGUCUCAACUACAGCAUCGCCCAAUUGAUCUCUGCUUAAUCUUGCUCCUCUUCCUCCCUCCACCCAAGGACAACUCCUAAUAAGUGCCCUCUAUGCACAUCUCACUUUGGGCUACUAGCCUGACGCAGAGAGCAGGGCUGCCUGAGAAAGCACUAAAGGUUGCAUUGCUUCAGAGCCAGAAAAUGAAGACAUGGCCCAUAGGAGAUUCGCUUCAGAGGUGAGAAGGCUGAGGUGUCUACCCAAGGUCACGCAGGUAGCAAACAUUGGAGCCCGAGAUGGACCAGGAGUGGUCUGCCUGCAGAACCUCAGCCCAGACCUUGAUGCCAGGGCCCUUGAAGAAGACCAGCUGCUGAGGCUCUUUUCUCCGUGAGUUACCAGCUCCUCUGCACCCCUGGCCCUGAUUUGCUGACACUUGACUGUAAGCAUCGUGAAGUCAGGAAUCACCUUUGAUCAGCUCAGCUCUGUGUGUCUGGCACCUGUCACAUCAGUAAGUACAAGGCUGGAAAUCUGUGGAUGUUUGCUGAAUUGUUUAAGGAACUGUAAUUGAACUACAUUUUUUUAAAUUGAUGCCAGUGGCUGGCACAGCCAAUUUGGAGACUUCUAUUAUGAAAGGACUCACUUGAGUGAUUCAUUAUGCAAAUAUAAAGGUGAACAGGGGAAAGUGAUGUAUUAUAAAUAUAUUUUUGUUUAUUUUUCAUUAACAAGAUUGCUCCACUUCUUGAUAUAUAGGGCUCUGGGGAGGGCUGGACCAAUUUGCAUAAGGAUGCAGAAGUCUUCUCAGGGAAGCAUUGGGGAGCCAACCCCUGCUCACUGUGAUGUAAACUUAGAAAAAUAUGGGUGGCCUGGAGUAGUUCUGAGUAGAUCGGCGUAGCUCUGCG
Molecule: long non-coding RNA, 2444 nt
Organism: Phacochoerus africanus (Common warthog)
Lineage: Eukaryota; Metazoa; Chordata; Mammalia; Artiodactyla; Suidae
Exons: 4
Source: RefSeq, a predicted model, not a curated record